This 73-nucleotide transfer RNA is filed under the name Fuerstiella sp. RNAcentral's name for it is "tRNA-Leu". It matches the Rfam family "tRNA". From Rfam's summary of the family: Transfer RNA (tRNA) molecules are approximately 80 nucleotides in length. Their secondary structure includes four short double-helical elements and three loops (D, anti-codon, and T loops). The record is from RNAcentral. Lineage: Bacteria; Pseudomonadati; Planctomycetota; Planctomycetia; Planctomycetales; Planctomycetaceae. RNAcentral also lists the same sequence under 1 other name.
GGCACCGUAGCCCAACGGCAGAGGCGCUCGGCUUAGAACCGAGAUGUUGGGAGUUCGAAUCUCCCCGGUGCUA